CGAAAACUUUUCAAUGCUGGCAACAGCGAUAAGGGAACCUCGAGUGCCAGGUUACAAGUCUGGCUGUCGAGAUGCCUAAAAAGCGUUUCAUAGCAAGGGCCGGGCNANACCNGUGCCAGCCGCCGCGGUAACACCGGCUACUCGAGUGGUAACCGUUAUUAUNGGGUC
This 168-nucleotide ribosomal RNA is filed under the name uncultured archaeon. RNAcentral describes it as "partial 16S ribosomal RNA". It matches the Rfam family "Archaeal small subunit ribosomal RNA", at positions 342 to 510 of the family's 1478-position model. The record is from RNAcentral.